Molecule: ribosomal RNA, 663 nt
Filed under: Comamonas sp.
Lineage: Bacteria; Pseudomonadati; Pseudomonadota; Betaproteobacteria; Burkholderiales; Comamonadaceae
Description: bacterial SSU rRNA
Rfam family: Bacterial small subunit ribosomal RNA
Source: RNAcentral
CUGGCGGCAGGCCUAACACAUGCAAGUCGAACGGACCCUUCGGGGUUAGUGGCGGACGGGUGAGUAACACGUGGGAACGUGCCUUUAGGUUCGGAAUAGCUCCUGGAAACGGGUGGUAAUGCCGAAUGUGCCCUUCGGGGGAAAGAUUUAUCGCCUUUAGAGCGGCCCGCGUCUGAUUAGCUAGUUGGUGAGGUAAUGGCUCACCAAGGCGACGAUCAGUAGCUGGUCUGAGAGGAUGACCAGCCACACUGGGACUGAGACACGGCCCAGACUCCUACGGGAGGCAGCAGUGGGGAAUCUUGCGCAAUGGGCGAAAGCCUGACGCAGCCAUGCCGCGUGAAUGAUGAAGGUCUUAGGAUUGUAAAAUUCUUUCACCGGGGACGAUAAUGACGGUACCCGGAGAAGAAGCCCCGGCUAACUUCGUGCCAGCAGCCGCGGUAAUACGAAGGGGGCUAGCGUUGCUCGGAAUUACUGGGCGUAAAGGGCGCGUAGGCGGAUCGUUAAGUCAGAGGUGAAAUCCCGGAGCUCAACUUCGGAACUGCCUUUGAUACUGGCGAUCUUGAGUGUGAGAGAGGUAUGUGGAACUCCGAGUGUAGAGGUGAAAUUCGUAGAUAUUCGGAAGAACACCAGUGGCGAAGGCGACAUACUGGCUCAUUACUGACG